Non-coding RNA from Brachypodium distachyon (stiff brome), 132 nucleotides. The record is from Rfam. Lineage: Eukaryota; Viridiplantae; Streptophyta; Magnoliopsida; Poales; Poaceae.
CCGCAAGAGCCACUCAGGCUAGCCAAGGAGACUGCCUAUGAGACUACAACAAAGGCUCAUGCAUCAUGUUGCCAAGCCUUGAAGUAUGACACAGGCAAGUCAUCCUUGGCUAUCAGAGAUAAGCCCCUUGCU